Ostrea edulis (European flat oyster) is the source of this 1421-nucleotide long non-coding RNA. RefSeq lists it as uncharacterized. The transcript is spliced from 6 exons. NCBI's taxonomy places the organism in Eukaryota, Metazoa, Mollusca, Bivalvia, Ostreida, Ostreidae. The record is from RefSeq and is a predicted model, not a curated record.
ACGACGGAUGUCUGGAAAUGUAUAAUGGACAAUGAAUGCAAUAUUGUAAGAAGACAACCCACUCCGAAUUCUCAACAGAUCUGCACGUGUAGAGGGAGCAGAGGUCCUGAACUAUGUGUUACAGUUAGAUGCAAACAUAAUUCAGUACAGACUCAAGGAAUUAAAUCGAUCUGUAAAUAUGGUAUUUCAAAAGCCUUUAAUUGCUCACGAACCUUGCAAAAUAGCAACAAAACUGAAUACACCAAUACCAGUGAAUACAAAAAUGACACUAUUAAAAUUCUUCAAGAAGGUAAGAUUUUUAAAAACAUGCUUUAACAAUUAGAGUAUGUUUAGGCAUAAAUUUUCUGCUUAUGUACAUCAUUUCCAAUGAAAAAUAUAAAAUAUACUCUGUCCAUUAUAGUUCGAAUCAAAGAUUGUUGUUCCCUUUGUGCGGACCUUGCUAAGAAAAGAAUCCAUAAGGAUGAAAACACGCUCAUCUCAAAUCAGAGUCAGAAUACAAUUUUACUUGAUAGAUGCAUCUUCGUUACAACUUUUGCGUAUUCGAAGCAGAUUUUUGAUAUCAUCGACAAAUGCAGUGAUGAGAAAAGUUGCCAAGUAUUUGUAAACGAGCAUAGGCAUUUUGGUACUCUAUUAUGUAUACUUCUACAUUAACAGUCGAUUUGUAUCGUCCUGAAAUGUGAAUUAAAUCUCAAACCUAACGACCACGCUAUAGACAGAAACUCUGCAUUAGGAAGAAGGACGUCACUGACAACAAUUUGGAACCAGUGGUUAGAGGAAAUCCUGCUCGUCUGUACUGGAGCUGUACUGUUGAGUGGAAUAAUGGGGUUCCUGAUUGGAGUACGUUGUUCAUGCUGCAGAAAGAAGACGACCAAAAGACAUAAAGCAGAAACAUCAAUAUCUUUAAAUUCCGAACUUUACGCAGAAAUUGCCGAAGUUUCAAACGAAACAUCCAAGGAUCCAGAGCAAAGCAGUCCAAAUCAAAUUCAAAUAGAUGCAUCAAGGCCGGAUAACGAUGUCAGACCUCCGUGUGAUUGUAAUCAAAGAAGUAACAGUGAAUACGACUACAGUCACGUGUACAACAUUCUACAACCAAAUUACGGCUCCAAAAGGCUUUCUCAUCCUGAUUUUAGUUCACUAACAACCUUAGAAAUGACGUAUUCCUAUCAGCAAUGUCGAAGUCUACAAAAUAUUUCAGACAAGCAUCGUAUACAGAGGGAAGGGGCGUCAAGAUUAUCUCUCUGAAGUAACUUCAGUAUGAACUACCAAAUGUAGUUGAUACAAAUCCAAUAUCAAGGACCGAAGUGAGCAUUGUCAUGUAUCGUAGUAUACCAUUUAUUUAGGUAAUUACCUAAACUUGUUAUAGUAUAUCCCAUUAUGAUAUAAUGCAGAACUUUACCCAAUAUGUUCAUCGUACUCACAAA